CUUAAUAAUUAAUUAUGACCGUCUGACCCUCCCUUCACUCGAUGAAAUGAAUCAAGUACUGAGAUCUUCUCCCUUGCUUCAACUACCAAACCCAACGCCACCACCACCACCACCAUCCUUAUCCCCCAGGUUUAUUAUAAAGGUAAUUGGCAAAGAUGAUGAAUUGGAAAUUUCAGAGAUACCGAAUGGCGUGAUUCAUUUUCAAGGUUCCAAAAGAUUAGUAGUAGUACGACUUGUCCAUUUUCAUAGGAAGGAGGAGGAAUUCGACAUGCCGCCUAUACAGAAAUUAUAUGAGGCUUGCAAAUUAUCGUUCUCUCCUAAUGGACCUAUUUCUGAAGAAGCUCUCCAGAAAGUAAGGGCGAUGUUAGAUAACAUGAAGCCAUCUGAUGUGGGUCUUCACCAGGAGGCAAUGUCUGUGCGUAAAGGUUCAACAUACGGGAUCAAUGGAAAAAAAGGACGUAAUGGAAGCCAACAGUAUCUGCCUCCAAUCAAAUAUCUCCAUUUGUUUGAGUCUGACUCUUUCUCCAUAGGAAUUUUCUGUAUGCCUCCUUCGUCGAUCAUCCCUCUCCAUAAUCAUCCUGGAAUGACAGUCUUGAGCAAGCUUUUGUAUGGUACAUUACAUGUUAAGUCAUACGACUGGCUUGACUUACCUGUGUCUGACGAUCCAUCAAAAGCAAGAGCUGCAAGGCUAGUAAAAAAUGAGGAGAUGUCAGCACCCACCAGUGGCACAACGGUAUUAUAUCCAACUAGUGGUGGCAACAUCCAUUCUUUUAGAGCUGUGACGCCAUGUGCUCUUUUUGAUAUUCUAUCACCGCCAUACUCUUCUGAGGAUGGACGGCACUGUUCCUAUUUUCGGAAGUCUCCAGAAAAAGAUGUUGCAGACAUCGUUGAGUCCACUGGAAUGGAUGCCUCUGAAGUAGCAUGGUUAGAAGAGUUCCAGCCUCCAGACAGCUUUGUGGUUCGAAGAGGAGUGUACAAUGGCCCAAUAAUUAGAAUUUGAGGAGUUCUGUUGUUAAAGAAAACAGAGUGGGUGUACCAUAUCAUUGGUCAGUCAAGUUAGGCAUCCGGAAUUUCAGGUUCAAGCAAAAGCAACCAUCCAGAAUGUUAGAUUCAAGCAAUAGCACCACUGGCUGAAUUUCGAUGUCCACUUUGUUGUCGCACAAUGUAUGGUCCAUUAUCCAGAUUCAGGGGAUCUAAAACCUAAUUCCGCAGCUGUAGCCUCUAGGUUUGAGAGUUCGCUGCAUUUUUGUUGCUGAAUAUUUCCUAAUUGGGUUUCCCAUUUUGUGGUCCAUUUGAAUGUUAUGUCUGAUAUGGGCUAUUUUAACAUUUUUGUUGCUGAAUAUUUCCUAAUUGGGUUUCCCAUUUUGUGGUCCA
Molecule: RNA transcript, 1374 nt
Organism: Papaver somniferum (opium poppy)
Lineage: Eukaryota; Viridiplantae; Streptophyta; Magnoliopsida; Ranunculales; Papaveraceae
Gene name: plant cysteine oxidase 5-like
Exons: 8
Source: RefSeq, a predicted model, not a curated record